RNAcentral lists this ribosomal RNA (149 nucleotides) under Vibrio parahaemolyticus. RNAcentral's name for it is "partial 16S ribosomal RNA". It matches the Rfam family "Bacterial small subunit ribosomal RNA", at positions 1 to 132 of the family's 1533-position model. The record is from RNAcentral. Lineage: Bacteria; Pseudomonadati; Pseudomonadota; Gammaproteobacteria; Vibrionales; Vibrionaceae.
AAAUUGAAGAGUUUGAUCAUGGCUCAGAUUGAACGCUGGCGGCAGGCCUAACACAUGCAAGUCGAGCGGAAACGAGUUAUUUGAACCUUCGGGGAACGAUAACGGCGUCGAGCGGCGGACGGGUGAGUAAUGCCUAGGAAAUUGCCCUG